Molecule: small RNA, 663 nt
Filed under: Pan troglodytes (chimpanzee)
Lineage: Eukaryota; Metazoa; Chordata; Mammalia; Primates; Hominidae
Description: processed transcript
Source: RNAcentral
UGUUUUAGUGAUGUCAGCUAGUGCAGUUCUCAAAUGGCUGCCUAUUAGGAAAAGAAUUCAGAGGAUUUGACUGCUCCUAAUCAUCUGUCAUUGCUGCUAGAUAAUGAUUGGCAAUUUUUAAGACUCAACUGGAAAUCUCAACAGUUGCUGGUAAACCAUUAACCAUAAAAACGUUGCUUUUGAACACCAGUGCUGAAAAAAAUUUUUUUUUUUUUUUUUUUUGAGAGCGAAAAGGGCUUGGACGUAAGAUAGGACAAUGUGGAGAAUGGGGGGAAGAAUGCAAAACGAUAUAGUAUCCCUUAUGGAUGGUACAUGUGCAACAGGGAACUCUUACUUCAUAUACCCUUUGCAGUAAUCAUUCAGGGAGGAAGAAAAACCUGGAACUUGAAUGAAGGCUGAUCUUUGUUUUGUGCACUGUGGCCCUGCCAGGCAUAUAGUGAAGGUAAGAAUGAUUGAUGUUGGCUGAUAUUGGAGUGCUUGCUCACAUGAAGUGGAUAGAUACUUCUCAAGACAUCACACAGCGUGAGUCAAUCAAGGAGGGAAGCCACAAGCAGACUGACAACGUUUCUAGGAUCAGGUGAGCUGUGUCCAGAAAACCAACAAGAAGGAGUGGAAGGAGGAAUGAACGUUUCAUUCUCGUUAAUAAAGGCAUUAUCCUAAUUA